Molecule: ribosomal RNA, 538 nt
Filed under: uncultured Bacteroidales bacterium
Lineage: Bacteria; Pseudomonadati; Bacteroidota; Bacteroidia; Bacteroidales
Description: bacterial SSU rRNA
Rfam family: Bacterial small subunit ribosomal RNA
Source: RNAcentral
GAUGAACGCUAGCUACAGGCUUAACACAUGCAAGUCGAGGGGCAGCAUGGUCUUAGCUUGCUAAGGCCGAUGGCGACCGGCGCACGGGUGAGUAACACGUAUCCAACCUGCCGUCUACUCUUGGACAGCCUUCUGAAAGGAAGAUUAAUACAAGAUGGCAUCAUGAGUCCGCAUGUUCACAUGAUUAAAGGUAUUCCGGUAGACGAUGGGGAUGCGUUCCAUUAGAUAGUAGGCGGGGUAACGGCCCACCUAGUCUUCGAUGGAUAGGGGUUCUGAGAGGAAGGUCCCCCACAUUGGAACUGAGACACGGUCCAAACUCCUACGGGAGGCAGCAGUGAGGAAUAUUGGUCAAUGGGCGAGAGCCUGAACCAGCCAAGUAGCGUGAAGGAUGACUGCCCUAUGGGUUGUAAACUUCUUUUAUAAAGGAAUAAAGUCGGGUAUGGAUACCCGUUUGCAUGUACUUUAUGAAUAAGGAUCGGCUAACUCCGUGCCAGCAGCCGCGGUAAUACGGAGGAUCCGAGCGUUAUCCGGAUUUAUU